UGGGGAUAUAGCUCAGAGGUAGAGCACUUGCCUAACAUGUGAGAGGCUCUGGGUUAAACUCCAGGUACUUAA
RNAcentral lists this transfer RNA (72 nucleotides) under Marmota monax (woodchuck). RNAcentral describes it as "tRNA.Val". It matches the Rfam family "tRNA". Rfam says of the family: Transfer RNA (tRNA) molecules are approximately 80 nucleotides in length. Their secondary structure includes four short double-helical elements and three loops (D, anti-codon, and T loops). Further hydrogen bonds mediate the characteristic L-shaped molecular structure. tRNAs have two regions of fundamental functional importance: the anti-codon, which is responsible for specific mRNA codon recognition, and the 3' end, to which the tRNAs corresponding amino acid is attached (by aminoacyl-tRNA synthetases). tRNAs cope with the degeneracy of the genetic code in two manners: having more than one tRNA (with a specific anti-codon) for a particular amino acid; and 'wobble' base-pairing, i.e. permitting non-standard base-pairing at the 3rd anti-codon position. Lineage: Eukaryota; Metazoa; Chordata; Mammalia; Rodentia; Sciuridae. The record is from RNAcentral.